RNAcentral lists this ribosomal RNA (618 nucleotides) under Triticum aestivum (bread wheat). RNAcentral's name for it is "partial small subunit ribosomal RNA". Lineage: Eukaryota; Viridiplantae; Streptophyta; Magnoliopsida; Poales; Poaceae. The record is from RNAcentral.
AUGGAGGAAGGAGACGGUGGUGGCGCUGGCGGCGUGGGUGAGGGGGCGGUGCGUGACGGGGUCGAUCCCCCUGCCCAGCAGCUUCCUCCGGAUGUGCGUGUUCCAGUAGUUCUUGAUCUCGUUGUCCGUCCUCCCGGGGAGGCGCGCGGCGAUGAGCGACCACUUGUUGCCGAGCAGGCUGUGGAGCUUGACGAUGAGGUCGUCCUCGUCGCGGGUGAAGUUGCCGCGCUUGAGGUCGGGGCGGAGGUAGUUGAUCCACCUGAGGCGGCAGCUCUUGCCGCAGCGCAGCAGGCCGGCGGCGCCGGGCAGCGAGCGCCAGCAGCCCUCCCCGUGCGCCCGGACGUGGGCCACCAGCCGCUCGUCCUCCUCCCUCGUCCACGCGCCCUUGUUGGUGUGCGCCUUCUCGCAGCACGGCGACCGACCCAUGGCCGAUCUUUGAUGGUGGUCUUGCUUUUGCUUAGCUCACGUGUGGGUGUGGCGUGGCGUGUGCGGGCUAGAUUGGGGGGAGGAAAGGGCGGGCGGACUUAUAUAGACGGCCCCUCUCAUCUGCUUGCUCUCUUGGGAAGGGAAGGUAGGCGCGCGCGGGAGAGAAAGAGAGGGAGAGAGGAUGAUGGAUGA